Molecule: ribosomal RNA, 519 nt
Filed under: uncultured Glomeromycotina
Lineage: Eukaryota; Fungi; Glomeromycota
Description: SSU rRNA
Rfam family: Eukaryotic small subunit ribosomal RNA
Source: RNAcentral
AGCAGCCGCGGUAAUUCCAGCUCCAAUAGCGUAUAUUAAAGUUGUUGCAGUUAAAAAGCUCGUAGUUGAACUUCGGGAUCAAUGGAUCGGUCAUGCCAUCGGUAUGUACUGGUCUCAUUGGUUCUCACCUUCUAAGGAACCAUAAUGUCAUUCAUUUGAUGUUGUGGGGAAUUAGGACUGUUACCUUGAAAAAAUUAGAGUGUUUAAAGCAGGCUAACGCUUGAAUACAUUAGCAUGGAAUAAUGAAAUAGGACAUCGCAUUCUAUUUUGUUGGUUUCUAGGAUCGAUGUAAUGAUUAAUAGGGAUAGUUGGGGGCAUUAGUAUUCAAUUGUCAGAGGUGAAAUUCUUGGAUUUAUUGAAGACUAACUACUGCGAAAGCAUUUGCCAAGGAUGUUUUCAUUAAUCAAGAACGAAAGUUAGGGGAUCGAAGACGAUCAGAUACCGUCGUAGUCUUAACCAUAAACUAUGCCGACUAGGGAUCGGAUGAUGUUAAAAAAAUGACGCGCUCGGCACCUCAUG